This 66-nucleotide transfer RNA is filed under the name Halomonadaceae bacterium. Its description in RNAcentral is "tRNA-Ala". It matches the Rfam family "tRNA". Rfam says of the family: Transfer RNA (tRNA) molecules are approximately 80 nucleotides in length. Their secondary structure includes four short double-helical elements and three loops (D, anti-codon, and T loops). Lineage: Bacteria; Pseudomonadati; Pseudomonadota; Gammaproteobacteria; Oceanospirillales; Halomonadaceae. The record is from RNAcentral.
GCCUUAGCUCAGCUGGGAGAGCGCAACACUGGCAGUGUUGAGGUCAGCGGUUCGAUCCCGCUAGGC